CCCUUAGAUGUUCUGGGCUGCACGCGUGCUACACUGAUAUUGCCAAUAUGUCAUUCUUAUCCGAAAUGGAUUGGGUAAUCAAGUAAUGAAAUUUCAUGCUUGGAAUCGGUAAUUGCAAUUUUAUCGUGAACGAGGAAUUCCUAGUAAGCACUAGUCAUCAGCUAAUGUUGAUUAUGUCCCUGCCCUUUGUACACACCGCCUGUCGCUACUACUGAUUGGGUGUUCAAGUGAGAUGCUUAGACCCUUGUUGCAUGGUUCAUUAUUGUGCUCCGAAAGGAAAAAGUUUCAAGCUUGAGUGUCUAGAGGAAGUAAAAGUCGUAACA
RNAcentral lists this ribosomal RNA (323 nucleotides) under uncultured eukaryote. Its description in RNAcentral is "partial 18S ribosomal RNA". It matches the Rfam family "Eukaryotic small subunit ribosomal RNA", at positions 1470 to 1796 of the family's 1831-position model. The record is from RNAcentral.